CCUCAUAAGGGUGUGUAUCAAGUGUUUCCCAAUUUAGUUCUGGCAUGUUGAGUCCAUGGACAAGUAUGGAUUAUUCUCUUUAGCUUUAGCCAAUUUAGGAGACAACCGCUGUUUUCCUGCACAUUUGCAUAUAGUUUCAGUCGCUAUGAUAGUAAACUUGCUCUCAACGACUCCGAUCUUACAAAAUGUUAGGUCUCCUUAGUUCCAAAUAUGGUUUUACAGGUCUAAAAUUAUUUCUUUGAUGCGAGGUGCCAUGCUGUGGAUAACAUGGAGAUUAUCAAGGCGGAGCGGCGGUGAGUAUGGAGCUCAUAAUCAUCAGUUCAUCACCAUGAAGCGGAAGAAAUGGUAUAGCUUUGCCAUGGUGAGGUUCUCACCUUCUUUGCGAGUCCUUUGUUGAUAUGCUCGGGCUUAAGACUGCUUCUGUGGCAUCAAGGGUAAGGAAAGCAUGAAAAAUGCUCCAGUCGUCUAUUAUAUCUUCUAUGCUUUUUUGUAUGUGGCAUCAGUAUUUAUUCAAUGGUUCUGAUGUUUCUGCACAAAGCUGGAAAUGGAUAGAUAGCACUAUAUAUUAUUAUUGGUUUCCCAUAGAGUAGGUACAUGUAGGUUUCCUUGGUAAUGUAAAGCUGAAAAUAACCAAGGUCUUCUGAAAAUCAGAAACUACUAUACCAGUUUUUCAUGUCUCGGUGAAUCUGGAACAACCUUAAUAAUUAUUCACAAUUGCAUGUAGUCUUUCCUCUGCUCUCGUCCGGUCAUCUCCUAGCUGUCUGUUGUGUGUCUUUUCCUGAUUCGUUUGUCGUCUCGCAGCUGGACUUUGGCAGCCGCCGCUCCUCGGCAAUCAACGGG
Molecule: long non-coding RNA, 840 nt
Filed under: Triticum aestivum (bread wheat)
Lineage: Eukaryota; Viridiplantae; Streptophyta; Magnoliopsida; Poales; Poaceae
Description: long non-coding RNA (TAES_LNC012659)
Source: RNAcentral